UACGGAGGGUGCAAACGUUGCUCGGAAUCACUGGGCGUAAAGCGCGCGCAGGCGGCCCUUUAAGUCCAUCGGUCAAAUGCCGGAGCUCAACUCCGUGCGUGCCGAGGAUACUGGAGGGCUGGAGACACGUAGAGGCAAGCGGAAUUCCGGGUGUAGCGGUGGAAUGCGUAGAUAUCGGGAGGAACACCUGUGGCGAAAGCGGCUCACUGGACCACAACUGACGCUGAUGCGCGAAAGCUAGGGGAGCAAACAGG
RNAcentral lists this ribosomal RNA (254 nucleotides) under uncultured bacterium. RNAcentral's name for it is "partial 16S ribosomal RNA". It matches the Rfam family "Bacterial small subunit ribosomal RNA", at positions 524 to 776 of the family's 1533-position model. The record is from RNAcentral.